UGAAUUUACUAAAGGGUUAAGAUGAUAAAUUUAAUUAAAUUUUUUUGCAGCAUUUAACAUAAAAGUUUGACAAAUUAUAAGUAAGGACGAAACGAAUCGAAAGUUAUAAUGAAGUUUAGACUUGUGAUUUAUAUAUUUCCUAAUUAAAAAUAAUAAAAAUAAUAAAAAUUGUGAAGUGAAUCAUCUUAGUAACAAUUAAAAAAAUCAACCGAAAAUUUAAAAGUAGCGGUGAGCGAAAUUUAAAAUAAGCAAAAAUAAUUUUGUAUUAAAUAUUUAAAAUUAUUAUACUAAAAAAGGUAAAAGUCCUGUGUAAAAUAUUUAGUUAAAUAAAAUUUAUGAUUAAAGUAAUGUGUUUGUUAUACAUGAAAAUAGGAGUACCACCUUCUAAGCUUAAAAUAUAAUUUGAUCGAUAGUGAAUGAGUACUGUGAAGGAAACUUGAAAAAAAUUAAAAAAAUUAAAAAAAAUUGAAUGCUAAUUAAUUACUCGAAGUAAUAAUAUAUAACGAAGUGCUUUUUGCAGAACGAGUCAGUAAGUUAAUUUAUAUAGCAAUUAAUUAUACAAAUAAAUUUAUUUUAAGUUAUAUGUAUUAGACCCGAAACCAAGUGAUCUAAUUAUAAACAAGUUGACUUUAAUAUAGUAAUUAGAUGAAGACUGCACUUUUAUAUGUAGCAAAAUAUAAAGAUGAUUUGUAAUUAGGAAUGAAAGAUUAAUCAAACUUGGUUAUAGCUGGUUUUUCACGAAAUGUAUUUUAGUACAACAUUAAUUAAUUAAUUUUUAGUGUAAAGUAAAUAAUCAAUUAUUUUUAACUUCAAAACUAAAUUUUUAAAAAUUAAUAGUCAGUCUAUAAGCGAUAAGGUUUUUAGACAAAAGGAAAACAAUCCUACUCGUUUGUUAAGGUAUUCAAUAUAUUAAUUUAGUAAAAAAGAUUUAUUAAAAUACAAAUAUUUAUCAUAGACUUAGAAGCAGUUUUUUAUUUGAGAAAGCGUUUUAGCUCAUUAUUAAUUUUUUAAUUAAUUAAAAAUUUUUGAUAAUAAAUUAUAAACCGAUACAGCGAAUAAAUUAUUUUAAAUAUUUUUUAUGGUAGUGAAACAUUUUAUGAUUAAAAUUAAUAAUUGAAAAAUAAAUUUUUUGAUAAAUAAAAAUGAAAAUGCUGACAUGAGUAGCGAAAAAUUAUGUUUAAAUCAUGAUCAUAGAAAAAAUAGGUUUUCAAUGUAAUUUUAUAUUCUUUGAGUUAGUCGGCUCCUAAAAAUUGUUUUAAUAAAUUAAUUUGAUGGUUAUUUAAUUAUUAAUUAAAAUUUUUGUUAACAUAAAAGUUAUAUAAAAAAUAUUUAAUAUUUAAAUUUUUAAAAAAUGAUAAAAAAAAUAUUUUUUAUAUUUUUCAAGAAAAAAAACAAAAAAAAAACCGUACUUAAACCGACACAGGUUUUUUUUAUAUGUUUGAAAAAAUUAUAUUAAAGGAACUUGGCAAAUUAAUUCUGUAUGUUAGCUAUAAAGAAUAUCUAAUUAAUAAAAAUUUAGAUAUCAAAAUCAAAAAACAACGACUGGUUAACAAAACCAUAAAACUCUGCAAAUUUUUUUAAGAUGUAUAGAGUUUGAAGCCUGCCCGGUGCUUAAAGAUGAAAUAGUUAAUUUUUAAAUUAAAUAAUAAGUAUGAGUAAACGGCGGUUCUAACUAUAAGAAUCCUUAGGUAGCGAAAUUCCUUGACGGGUAAAUUCCGUCCUGCAUGAGUGGCUUAACGAUUGUUUUACUGUCUCUAAUAUAAAUUCAGCGAAAUUACAAUAUUCAUGAAAAUGUGAAUUAUUUACAAUAAGACGGAAAGACCCUAGAUCCUUUACUUUUAUCUUAUAUUGUAAAAAAUUAAUAUAAAUAAAGAAAAAAAUGGGAGUUAAUAAUGUAAAUGAAAUACCAUUUAUAUAUUUUAUUUUUUACUUGAUAAAUUUAAAAAAAUUUUUUAAUAAAUAAUAUUAAAUUAUUUUUAAAAAAAAUUUAAGAAAGAAAGUUUACUUGGGAUGAGUGCCUCCUAAAAAGUAACGGAGGUGUACAAAGGUAAAAAAUUUGUAUAAUAGCUUUAUUUUACUUGAUAAUAAAAUUAAUAUAUUAAAUUAGGAUGCAAGUCAGUUAUAAUGACCCGAAUUUAUGUGUGGAAAUAAAUUCGUUCAACAGAUAAAAGGAACUCUAGGGAUAACAGAUUCAUCAUGAUUUUAAGUUCUUAUUAAAAUCAUGGUUUGAUACCUCGAUGUCGACUCAUCUUAUCCUGAAAUUGUAAAAUAUUUCAAGGGUCUAGUUGUUCGCUAGUUAAAAAGGUACGUGAGUUGGGUUCAGAACGUCGUGAGACAGUUCGGUCCCUAUCUAUUGUAAAAAAAAAAAAUUAAAAGAAUUAUUUUUAGUACGAGAGGACCAAAAUAUAUUAACCACUAGUGAAUUGAUUAAAAUUAUAUCUAGUAUAUAGUCAAGUAGCUACGUUAGUUUAAUUUAUAUACUGAAAGAAUCAACGGUAUCAAAAUUACUUUAAAAAUUUUUUUGAACAAUCUAAAAAAAAAUUAGAUAGAUCGAUCUAAACUUAAUUUUUAGUAAUAAAAAAAUUAUAGACACGAAUUUGUCAAAAAAUUAAUUAAAUUUAUCAA
Molecule: ribosomal RNA, 2625 nt
Filed under: Choreocolax polysiphoniae
Lineage: Eukaryota; Rhodophyta; Florideophyceae; Gigartinales; Choreocolacaceae
Description: large subunit ribosomal RNA
Rfam family: Bacterial large subunit ribosomal RNA
Source: RNAcentral